This 27-nucleotide non-coding RNA is filed under the name Mus musculus (house mouse). Lineage: Eukaryota; Metazoa; Chordata; Mammalia; Rodentia; Muridae. The record is from RNAcentral.
UGGGACCAAAACAAAAACAUUCUUACA